GACGAACGCUGGCGGCGUGCUUAACACAUGCAAGUCGAACGAAGAGCGAUGGAAGCUUGCUUCUAUCAAUCUUAGUGGCGAACGGGUGAGUAACGCGUAAUCAACCUGCCCUUCAGAGGGGGACAACAGUUGGAAACGACUGCUAAUACCGCAUACGAUCUAAUCUCGGCAUCGAGGAUAGAUGAAAGGUGGCCUCUACAUGUAAGCUAUCACUGAAGGAGGGGAUUGCGUCUGAUUAGCUAGUUGGAGGGGUAACGGCCCACCAAGGCGAUGAUCAGUAGCCGGUCUGAGAGGAUGACCGGCCACAUUGGGACUGAGACACGGCCCAGACUCCUACGGGAGGCAGCAGUGGGGAAUCUUCCGCAAUGGACGAAAGUCUGACGGAGCAACGCCGCGUGAGUGAUGACGGCCUUCGGGUUGUAAAGCUCUGUUAAUCGGGACGAAAGGCCUUCUUGCGAAUAGUGAGAAGGAUUGACGGUACCGGAAUAGAAAGCCACGGCUAACUACGU
This 509-nucleotide ribosomal RNA is filed under the name uncultured bacterium. RNAcentral describes it as "partial 16S ribosomal RNA". It matches the Rfam family "Bacterial small subunit ribosomal RNA", at positions 28 to 506 of the family's 1533-position model. The record is from RNAcentral.